Dipodomys ordii (Ord's kangaroo rat) is the source of this 46-nucleotide non-coding RNA. Lineage: Eukaryota; Metazoa; Chordata; Mammalia; Rodentia; Heteromyidae. The record is from Rfam.
GGGAAGGUAGCUCAGUGGUAGAGCGCUUGCCUUGCAUGCAUGAGGC